Long non-coding RNA from Labeo rohita (rohu), 474 nucleotides. RefSeq lists it as uncharacterized. The record is from RefSeq and is a predicted model, not a curated record. NCBI's taxonomy places the organism in Eukaryota, Metazoa, Chordata, Actinopteri, Cypriniformes, Cyprinidae. The transcript is spliced from 4 exons.
CGAAAACAUUUAGAGCUGUUCAACACUACAGUUCAGAGGAGGAAAAAGAAAGAUCUACACAUAUUAUCUAAGGCUAUGUGGAUGUAACAUCACUACUCAGUCCUGUGAAAGUUUGUCUUCAGCUCUACAAUCCUCAAACUCAAACAUCCUGAGAGAGCUGGACCUGAGUAACAAUGACCUGCAGGAUUCUGGAGUGGAGCUUCUUUCUGAUGGACUGAAGAGUCCAAACUGUCAGCUGGAGAUUCUGAGAUUGUCUGGCUGUAUGGUGACAGAGAAAAGCUGUCGUUAUGUGUUCUCAGCUCUGAGUUCAAACCCCUCACAUCUGAGAGAGCUGGAUCUGAGCUACAAUCACCCAGAAGAUUCAAGAGUCAAACUACUCACUGAAAAAUUGUUGGAUUCAGCUUGCUCACUGGACAAACUAAAUGUUAACAAUGGAGGAGAAUCCAGGAUUACAGCAGGACUGAAGAAGUGUAC